GGGGUUGUAGCUCAGUGGAAGAGCACUUGCCUGGCAUGUAUGAGGCAAUGGGUUUGAUUCUCAGCACCA
RNAcentral lists this transfer RNA (69 nucleotides) under Marmota monax (woodchuck). It matches the Rfam family "tRNA". Rfam says of the family: Transfer RNA (tRNA) molecules are approximately 80 nucleotides in length. Their secondary structure includes four short double-helical elements and three loops (D, anti-codon, and T loops). Lineage: Eukaryota; Metazoa; Chordata; Mammalia; Rodentia; Sciuridae. The record is from Rfam by way of RNAcentral. RNAcentral also lists the same sequence under 2 other names.